CAGGCUCAGUCCCCUCCCGAU
This 21-nucleotide non-coding RNA is filed under the name Sus scrofa (pig). The record is from RNAcentral. Lineage: Eukaryota; Metazoa; Chordata; Mammalia; Artiodactyla; Suidae. RNAcentral also lists the same sequence under 1 other name.